AACGAACGCCGGCGGCAUGCCUAACACAUGCAAGUCGAACGAGACCUUCGGGUCUAGUGGCGCACGGGUGCGUAACGCGUGGGAACCUGCCUUUAGGUUCGGAAUAACAGUGAGAAAUUACUGCUAAUACCGGAUAAUGUCUUCGGACCAAAGAUUUAUCGGCUUUAGAUGGGCCCGCGUAGGAUUAGCUAGUUGGUGGGGUAAAGGCCUACCAAGGUGACGAUCCUUAGCUGGUCUGAGAGGAUGAUCAGCCACACUGGGACUGAGACCCGGCCCAGACUCCUACGGGAGGCAGCAGUGGGGAAUAUUGGACAAUGGGCGAAAGCCUGAUCCAGCAAUGCCGCGUGAGUGAUGAAGGCCUUAGGGUUGUAAAGCUCUUUUACCAGGGAUGAUAAUGACAGUACCUGGAGAAUAAGCUCCGGCUAACUCCGUGCCAGCCGCCGCUGUAA
Molecule: ribosomal RNA, 449 nt
Filed under: uncultured bacterium
Lineage: Bacteria
Description: partial 16S ribosomal RNA
Rfam family: Bacterial small subunit ribosomal RNA
Source: RNAcentral